UAGUAUACGUGAUAUUUUAGG
This 21-nucleotide microRNA is filed under the name Drosophila melanogaster (fruit fly). RNAcentral describes it as "dme-miR-2283-3p". Lineage: Eukaryota; Metazoa; Arthropoda; Insecta; Diptera; Drosophilidae. The record is from miRBase by way of RNAcentral.